RNAcentral lists this unclassified non-coding RNA (1698 nucleotides) under Hevea brasiliensis (rubber tree). The record is from RNAcentral. Lineage: Eukaryota; Viridiplantae; Streptophyta; Magnoliopsida; Malpighiales; Euphorbiaceae.
GACUGAAUGAAAUUUUUGUUUGACUCGUUGCUGCUUGCGAAUUAGGGGGUAAAGUUUGGUCUGAUAAUCUAUUACUAUCGUUUUUUUUCUUUUUCUUGUUUUUUUCUGUUUUCGAGGAUGGCUUGGUGUUCGUCUGAGCCUACAUUUUUGAGGUUUCAGCAAGUCCAUGGUUGUUGUACUCUCCAUAAGGUCCUUAAGCGCCAAGAAAGUUAUUCCGUCGUAUAAUCUUAAGCAUAUAUUAGUUUAGUUCACAUUCAUAUGACUCGUUCGUCUUCAGGUCAUUUUGUAGUAUGAUAUCAUAGCACUCGUUCAGUGUUUGGUGAUUAGACUUCUCGUAACUCAUCCAUUCAUCCUAGAUAGUUUAAUGUUUUGCCAUGAAUUCGAAGAGUUUGUUGUUAAUUAAUGUAUCUUUGUACGACUGAUCAUUGUUUUGUUUGCUUAAGUUUGUCUCAAGCUCUCUUGAUUUGAAAUGAUAUAAUACCUUUCUAUCCAACAAGGUAUUAGUUUAGCAUGAAAGUUCUUUAGGUAGUGUCUCUUUUUGUCCCGUCUUCCAUCCCUGAGUUGAUAGUACUUUUUUGGUUUCACUAUGGUUUUAUUUUCGGGUCUCCUAUCGCGUUUACGUACCGGUUUUUGCGUCUGCUAUUAUGAGAAGCAGGCUUUUUCCUCCGUCUGCUCUCUGUUAAUCAUGUCAUUAAUAUAUGCUUGGUCUUGUGAUAGUUUUGGUCUGAGUAUAAAGGGGUUCAUAAAUGAAAAUUUUUACCCUUUUUUUUUUGCUAUCUAGAAAAGGAUUUCAAAUAGCUGCAUUUGAGAUAAAUGUUCAAUAAGAAUAUCUAGUUGAUUGCUCACUGUUAUCUUAAUUAAAUAUCUUCAUUCGGAAUUCUUAUUUUUGCUCUUAAGGAAAAUGUCCAUCAUGCUUUUGAUUUUUAGAAGUUAUUGUAUGUUUGGAGUCAACUUUGCCAUAACUUCUGUGUUAUCCAUACAUACAUAUGUGCCUUAUUCAGGAACCUCUUUGCUUUGGUUUUGCAAGUGUUUGAAUAAUUCUUAGCUUAUCAUUAUAUAUUUUCUCUCGUUAAUUCGUUUAUUUUGUUCCAUGUCAUUUUUCUCUAGCUAAUGUUUUGCCUUUCUUUUAUGGCAUUGACGAGUCCCUCGGGAAUCCUCGUUUCCUCUUGCAUCCUUUAAUUGAGCUGUGAAAGUUCAAAUUUUCCCGUCGAUUCAGCCAUCUUGGCAACUUUAGGAUAUAGCUGGAUAGGUUGAAGACAACAAUAUAUUGCUGUGAAUCAAUUUUCCAGCCCCACAAAAAGCCUAAAACACGUUGAUAUACCAGCUAUAUACACUGGCAUACAGCUGGAAUAUACCAAAAACAGGUGCAAAUGUGGAAAUGCAGAUCAGAAAAUACAGCAUACAAAAUUAGAUAUAAUACCGGUUUCAGAAGGUUCAAAAUAUACUGGAUACGCGUCAUAUACAGCGGUAUACAUUAAGUCUACACCAUAUUUUUAAAAAGAAAUGGGGCCGAAGCCCAUUUGAGUUCCCUGCAGAAUUUUGUGAGAAAUGGGCCAAGCCCCAAAAGAUAAAAGCAAAAAAAAUGAAGGAAAACAUGGGCCAAAGUCCAAGUUUAACUACUUUCUCUCUAUAUAUUUUUGCUAUAUUGAUUGACUUACGUUAUUGAAUUUCGGUUUUAAUUUAAUAAUUCCCGGUGAU